CAAUAGCGUAUAUUAAAGUUGUUGCAGUUAAAAAGCUCGUAGUUGGAUUUCUGGUAGGAGCGACCGUGCCGAACUUGAUUGUUCGAGUAUUGUGUUGUCUUCAGCCAUCCUCGUGGAGAACUUUUCUAACAUUAACUUGUUGGGAUUGGGAUCCGCGUCGUUUACUGUGAAAAAAUUAGAGUGUUUAAAGCAGGCAUUAGCUUGAAUACAUUAGCAUGGAAUAAUAAGAUAGGACUUUGGUACUAUUUUGUUGGUUUGCAUACCAAAUUAAUGAUCAACAGGAACAGUUUGAGGAUAUUCGUAUGAACAUGUCAGAGGUGAAAUUCUUGGAUUUUGAUCAGACGAACUACUGCGAAAGCAUUUAUCAAGGAUGUUUUCAUUAA
RNAcentral lists this ribosomal RNA (383 nucleotides) under uncultured eukaryote. Its description in RNAcentral is "partial 18S ribosomal RNA". It matches the Rfam family "Eukaryotic small subunit ribosomal RNA", at positions 592 to 976 of the family's 1831-position model. The record is from RNAcentral.